RNAcentral lists this ribosomal RNA (497 nucleotides) under uncultured bacterium. Its description in RNAcentral is "partial 16S ribosomal RNA". It matches the Rfam family "Bacterial small subunit ribosomal RNA", at positions 28 to 507 of the family's 1533-position model. The record is from RNAcentral.
GAUGAACGCUGGCGGCGUGCCUAAUACAUGCAAGUCGAGCGAACGGACGAGAAGCUUGCUUUUCUGAUGUUAGCGGCGGACGGGUGAGUAACACGUGGAUAACCUACCUAUAAGACUGGGAUAACUUCGGGAAACCGGAGCUAAUACCGGAUAAUAUUUUGAACCGCAUGGUUCAUAAGUGAAAGACGUUCUUGCUGUCACUUAUAGAUGGAUCCGCGCUGCAUUAGCUAGUUGGUAAGGUAACGGCUUACCAAGGCAACGAUGCAUAGCCGACCUGAGAGGGUGAUCGGCCACACUGGAACUGAGACACGGUCCAGACUCCUACGGGAGGCAGCAGUAGGGAAUCUUCCGCAAUGGGCGAAAGCCUGACGGAGCAACGCCGCGUGAGUGAUGAAGGUCUUCGGAUCGUAAAACUCUGUUAUUAGGGAAGAACAUAUGUGUAAGUAACUGUGCACAUCUUGACGGUACCUAAUCAGAAAGCCACGGCUAACUACGUG